AGAGCAUGAAUGGGUUUAAAGUGCGCGUAGGUGGUUUGUUAAGUUGGAUGUGAAAUCCCCGGGCUCAACUUGGGAACUGCGUUCUGAACUGGGUGACUAGAGUGUGUCAGAGGGAGGUAGAAUUCCACGUGUAGCAGUGAAAUGCGUAGAGAUGUGGAGGAAUACCGAUGGCGAAGGCAGCCUCCUGGGAUAACACUGACGUUCAUGCCCGAAAGCGUGGGUAGCAAACAGGAUUAGAUACCCUGGUAGUCCACGCCCUAAACGAUGUCGAUUAGCUGUUGGGCAGCAUGACUGCUUAGUAGCGAAGCUAACGCGUGAAAUCGACCGCCUGGGGAGUACGGCCGCAAGGUUGAAACUUAAAUUAAUUGACGG
RNAcentral lists this ribosomal RNA (372 nucleotides) under uncultured Neisseria sp. Its description in RNAcentral is "bacterial SSU rRNA". It matches the Rfam family "Bacterial small subunit ribosomal RNA", at positions 545 to 916 of the family's 1533-position model. The record is from RNAcentral. Lineage: Bacteria; Pseudomonadati; Pseudomonadota; Betaproteobacteria; Neisseriales; Neisseriaceae.